UCACCUGGAUGAAGCAGGAAUUGCUAGUAAUUGCCGGUCAGCCAUACGGCGGUGAAUCCGUUCCCGAGCCUUGUACACACCGCCCGUCACACUAUAGGAGCUGGCCAUGUUUGAAGUAAUUACCCUUAACCGUAAGGAGGGGAUUUCCAGAGGAGUUGCAAACGGAUCUGCCGGUUCACCAAUCAUUCGUCGAUAUUGAAGUUCCGCAAGUUGUGCUUCCCGAUACUGUAUUUGAAGCAGUUCUUCGAAUUCCUUAUGAUAUGCAAUUGAAACAAGUUCUUGCAGACGAAGCCAAAGCUUAUGGACUUGUCGAUAUUGCAAGGAGUAGUACAGGAAUAUUGACCUGUUGUCCAU
Molecule: ribosomal RNA, 354 nt
Filed under: Triticum aestivum (bread wheat)
Lineage: Eukaryota; Viridiplantae; Streptophyta; Magnoliopsida; Poales; Poaceae
Description: partial small subunit ribosomal RNA
Rfam family: Bacterial small subunit ribosomal RNA (bases 1-211)
Source: RNAcentral